UGAGCAAUCUGCCCUUCUCAUCGGAAUAAGCGUUGGAAACGACGUCUAAUGCCGAAUACGACCUCCUUUCGCAUGAUCGGAGGUGGAAAGCUUCGGCGGAGAAGGAUGAGCUCGCGGCCUAUCAGCUAGUUGGUGUGGGUAAUGGCCCACCAAGGCGACGACGGGUAGCCGGCCUGAGAGGGUGACCGGCCACACUGGGACUGAGACACGGCCCAGACUCCUACGGGAGCAG
This 232-nucleotide ribosomal RNA is filed under the name uncultured bacterium. RNAcentral describes it as "partial 16S ribosomal RNA". It matches the Rfam family "Bacterial small subunit ribosomal RNA", at positions 118 to 347 of the family's 1533-position model. The record is from RNAcentral.